Molecule: ribosomal RNA, 253 nt
Filed under: uncultured prokaryote
Description: partial 16S ribosomal RNA
Rfam family: Bacterial small subunit ribosomal RNA
Source: RNAcentral
ACGAAGGGGGCUAGCGUUGCUCGGAUUGACUGGGCGUAAAGGGCGCGUAGGCGGAUAGUACAGUCAGGCGUGAAAUUCCUGGGCUCAACCUGGGGGCUGCGUUUGAUACGUAUUGUCUGGAGUUCGGAAGAGGGUCGUGGAAUUCCCAGUGUAGAGGUGAAAUUCGUAGAUAUUGGGAAGAACACCGGUGGCGAAGGCGGCGACCUGGUCCGAUACUGACGCUGAGGCGCGAAAGCGUGGGGAGCAAACGGGA